RNAcentral lists this ribosomal RNA (440 nucleotides) under uncultured bacterium. Its description in RNAcentral is "partial 16S ribosomal RNA". It matches the Rfam family "Bacterial small subunit ribosomal RNA", at positions 338 to 795 of the family's 1533-position model. The record is from RNAcentral.
CCUACGGGAGGCAGCAGUAGGGAAUAUUGCACAAUGGGGGAAACCCUGAUGCAGCAACGCCGCGUGGAGGAUGAAGGUUUUCGGAUUGUAAACUCCUUUUGUUAGAGAAGAUAAUGACGGUAUCUAACGAAUAAGCACCGGCUAACUCCGUGCCAGCAGCCGCGGUAAUACGGAGGGUGCAAGCGUUACUCGGAUUCACUGGGCGUAAAGAGCGCGUAGGCGGGAUCGCAAGUCAGAUGUGAAAUCCUAUGGCUUAACCAUAGAACUGCAUUGGAAACUGUUAUUCUAGAGUAUGGGAGAGGUAGGUGGAAUUCUUGGUGUAGGGGUAAAAUCCGUAGAGAUCAAGAGGAAUACUCAUGGCGAAGGCGACCUGCUAGAACAUAACUGACGCUGAUGCGCGAAAGCGUGGGGAGCGAACAGGAUUAGAUACCCCGGUAGUC